Molecule: ribosomal RNA, 486 nt
Filed under: uncultured bacterium
Lineage: Bacteria
Description: partial 16S ribosomal RNA
Rfam family: Bacterial small subunit ribosomal RNA
Source: RNAcentral
AUUGAACGCUGGCGGCAUGCCUUACACAUGCAAGUCGAACGGCAGCACGGGUGCUUGCACCUGGUGGCGAGUGGCGAACGGGUGAGUAAUACAUCGGAACAUGUCCUGUAGUGGGGGAUAGCCCGGCGAAAGCCGGAUUAAUACCGCCUACGAUCUACGGAUGAAAGCGGGGGACCUUCGGGCCUCGCGCUAUCGGGUUGGCCGAUGGCUGAUUAGCUAGUUGGUGGGGUAAAGGCCUACCAAGGCGACGAUCAGUAGCUGGUCUGAGAGGACGACCAGCCACACUGGGACUGAGACACGGCCCAGACUCCUACGGGAGGCAGCAGUGGGGAAUUUUGGACAAUGGGCGAAAGCCUGAUCCAGCAAUGCCGCGUGUGUGAAGAAGGCCUUCGGGUUGUAAAGCACUUUUGUCCGGAAAGAAAUCCUUGGCCCUAAUACGGUCGGGGGAUGACGGUACCGGAAGAAUAAGCACCGGCUAACUACGUG